Long non-coding RNA from Erpetoichthys calabaricus (reedfish), 616 nucleotides. RefSeq lists it as uncharacterized. The transcript is spliced from 2 exons. NCBI's taxonomy places the organism in Eukaryota, Metazoa, Chordata, Cladistia, Polypteriformes, Polypteridae. The record is from RefSeq and is a predicted model, not a curated record.
AUGGGAUUACGAAGUUAAAGAAUGUUGAGUGCCAAUGGUAUUACCUUAGAUCACACGUGAAUUCUGUGAGGCAGUGGAGUGGAGUAAAUGGAGUAAAAGUGAAAGAUUCGACUGGCACUGAAGGAAGGAGACAACAGUUUUGGCUGCAGAAAAACCUUUAAUGCCACAUGGGCUGGAUGGGCAUCCCAGCCGGAAGAGGGGAUUGUUCCUUAACCGGACAGGAGGCUCCUAACAAACAGAUAGGCAUUCCGGCUGGGUAGGAGAAAGGAAUCGGACCAGAACGAAGGACCAAAAGGGAUGGAUGGACAGCCCACUGAAAAGAGAAGAUGUCGCUGGGGUUUUUUUUACUUCCCCAAAACGCUAGAUGGCAGUGGCCCUGGAUAUCAGUGCCCAGUGGGAAGCCAGCAGGGCAUGCCGGGAGAUGUAAUCUGGUAGAGCAGCCCUGCUGGGGUCACUGGGUGCUGCAAGAGGAUGCUGCAGGGAGACAAGCUCCCUGUUAUAAUGGACUUUCAAAAGACCUGGAAGUGCUUCUAUCGGGCAAUCACCCUGGCACCAGAAGUACUCUGGGGUUCAUAAUAAAAGGGACCACACUCCCUUUUCCAGGCGAGUCGGAGCU